Molecule: long non-coding RNA, 209 nt
Filed under: Gossypium barbadense (sea-island cotton)
Lineage: Eukaryota; Viridiplantae; Streptophyta; Magnoliopsida; Malvales; Malvaceae
Description: long non-coding RNA (GBAR_LNC010547)
Source: RNAcentral
CUUAUUCUUUUCUUCUAUAGCCGAAUCUUUCUACUAUUUUUCUCAUCUCCACUUUCUAAUAAUUUGUUCUUAAGCCUUAUAUACAAAAGCUAAAAUCCCAAAAGUUGUUUCUUGUGUCGAUUUACUCUAGUCAAAAUCCUCUAUUUUCUUCAUCUCUUUUGGCUGAUUUUUCACAUCCUCUAAACCUUAACCCCUAUCGGCAAUACCAC